Molecule: non-coding RNA, 10894 nt
Organism: Salmo salar (Atlantic salmon)
Lineage: Eukaryota; Metazoa; Chordata; Actinopteri; Salmoniformes; Salmonidae
Source: RefSeq, a predicted model, not a curated record
CUGGUUUCCUUUUAACGGUAUAGGCCUGCUGUUGCUAUAUAAAAUGUAUAGGCCUAUGUAACAUAUACGUUAUGUAUUUCACCGAAAAUCCCUCAUAUUUAUUUUAUGGUUAUUUUGGGAUAUAUUACAUUACUUUCAAGAGUGAACUAUUUCAUUGUAAUUAUUUUCUAAAUUGUGUUAAUGCUGUGAUGUCAUCAACGGGAGCCAUUACUUUACUCCUCAGUUUGAUCAGAGCGUUAUGAGGAGUGGUAUGUGCUAUGUACGCUCCGGUCUUUUGAAUGCACAUGUUCACAAAUGCACAAGAAAAGACAAGCAAAAUGUAUAUCUUCACUGAUUUAGUGUUGCAUUGCUGUUUAUAUGAAUAUAUAUUAAUGUGAAUGGGGAUAAUGUUCGAGUGCAAGUUUGCAAGGGUAACCCAGCUACCGUUAGCUUUGUUGCGGGAGAGGGUCUCUUUCAGGUGCAGACAUCUUGAGUUUGCUGAUGAUUUUUCUCACGGGCAUUCUGCACUGACUUUUGUCUUUAAUCAGGCAAAUAUACUUGUAUGGGAGUCCAGACGGCAGCAUUAACCUUUGCAUUGUAUCCAUUCCUUGCAGUCAUUAAUAGAGAGACAACCGGCAGAAUUGUGUCCAGAGCCUUGUCUUCCACCUACACCUUACCAGAACACAACGCAGAACGGUACCGGUACAGAACCGGUUACAUUGGUGCCGUGACCCAGAUCAAUGUGGAUCAUUAUGAAUCGCCGUUGAUCAACACCAGCUUGGUCGCCGGGAGUUGCUAUGCUAUAAAUAGGAGAAAAUGCCAUGGAGUACUGGAUCCGUUGGAACAAGGCAGUAGAUGUGGCUGACGAGUGUUUGAGGAGGCAGGGUGGGAGCAUCGAGUACUCCAGCCGAGAGGCAAAUAAACUUGUAUGGAGUCCAGACGGCAGCAUUUACUUUUGCCUUGUAUUUGUAUCCAUUCCGUGCAGGUAUGUUGUGAAAUGUGCCGAUUUUGUAUUUCAUGUUUAAUGUGCCUAGUUAGCUGUCAUUUAUUUUGUUACCUGUCCGGUCAUGUAAAAAAUUGCGUUGUUGCUUCAUUAGUAUGCCUCAGGUAUAAUGGUACAAUAGUACACUUAUUAGCAAAUUAUUAUUGUAUUGGUGUACAACAUUUAUAAAAUGAAAUGUGAGUCUUUUAAAAAUAUGAACAUGUACAUUGUAUUUUUGUUGUUGAUGCUUUUACUAAUGAGUUUGCUCAGAGCGUGAUGAGGAGAGGCAAAUAUACUUGUAUGGGAGUCCAGACGGCAGCAUUAACUUUGCCUUGUAUUUGUAUCCAUUCCAUGCAGUCAUUAAAAGAGAGACAACCGGCAGAAUUGUGUCCAGAGCCUUGUCUUCCACCUACACCUUACCAGAACACAAUGCAGAAAGGUACUGGUACAGAACCGGUUACACCUAGUUUUCAUAGUCUUUGAUCCACCACAUUCCUGUGGACUGUGUUAAUGGCUGGACAAAAAAACGACAGUAAAACUUGUUGGGAUUUUUCUUCCUUCAGCAAAGUAACCUACUACUUUAUCAUGUGUAGGAAUCUGUGUCUCUUACUUAAUUAUCUCUCAUUCCUCUUAAAGUGUGUACUUAUUCACCUCCACUGAUUUGAAAGUCUGAUUAUCCAUUACAUGACCAGAUACUCAUUCAAACGAUGAAAAUACAUCUUCUGUGGGGUUUAUCAGCGGUUGGCAUCCAAUGUUAUAGUGCAUUAAGCCAUCUCCUGUAAUGGAGUGUGGGCCAGCGACAGGGAUCGAGGAACUAAAUCCUAUCUACCAGCCCCGUGUCUCUUAAAAAAAUAGAAAUAUUUGCGACUAUCUAACGAUGUCCUACUCAGUAUGCUUUGUUAGAGGUUCAGCUAGGGGUCAUGAUUGGGGCUGUACCAAAUGAUUGAUGUAUUAGAAUAAAUGAUUAUGCUGAUGUUGUGUUAAUAGAAGGGGAGGGGUUAUAAGACCCCUCCCUCCUUACAUUUAUAGGGUCCUAGACUACAGAUUAACAAUAUAUGUACAUUAUGAGGUUUAAUAUUGUUCCACAGUGCUUUUCUAGGCUCUCUGCCUCUUAUGAAGAAACCGUCUGAGAAAUGUGUGACUGUGAAGAUAGAACUCUGCAGGGGAGUGUAAGAGAUAGGAGACUAGUCAGACAUUCCACUAUAAAUCAACGUGGACAUUUACUGCUAAGCUUUUAGAUAACACUGAAAGCCUUGUUUAUAUAGCUGUGUAGGCAUGGUUUUGGUCUCAUGAGUAAAAGAUAAUGACGUAGGCAGUGACAUCACUAGGGCUGGACUUCGGGUUUGAUAAAAUAACUUGGGACCUUUUCUUUGAUGCAGAACUUGCUCGGAACUUGCUCUGCCCAUAUCAUUCCCUUAGCCUCUGCUUUGCCCAUUGGAACCUCCACCUCCUGUCAAUUCCUGUACCCCUUCUCUCUCAUACUGUAUCAGUCUCUCUUUCCCUAUCAUACUGCAUCAGUACAUGCUCCACUGUCUGUUUCCUGGCAGUAAUCACAUCUUCCUGUUGAAUGAUUUCCUAUCACAUUUCAUAACUUAUUCAGCUGGCUGUGCCCCACUCUUAGCCUUGUAAGGAUAGCCUCCUCUCUUCUGUCCAUUCCUACCAUCCUCCCCUACUUUACUCUGUACUUGGAAUAGGGGCAGCAGGUAGCCAAGUGGUUUAUAGUGUUGGGCCUGUAACCCGAGGCGACUAGGUGAAAAAUCUGUCAAUGUGCCUUAGAGCAACUUAAUCCUAAUUGCUCCUGCAAGUCGCUCUAGAUAAGUGUCUGCUAAAUUACUAAAAUGUCAACAAUGAAUAGAUGCCUGCCUUAGUGUCACUGUUCCACUGCUCCUGCCAUCUCUGCCCAUAUCAUUCCCUUAGCCUCUGCUUUGCCCAUUGGAACCUCCACCUCCUGUCUCCUAAGGGCCUGUUUAGCUAGCAUAUCUACUUCCUCAUUCCCUUCCACCCCCACAUGGACCGGUACCCAAGCAAAGCUUAUAUGGACACCUAUCUGUCUCACCCGGGCAUGAAUUUGAAUUCCUUCAUAUAGCAGGCCUCGUCUGCUAUGUGAGCUAAAUGAUUGCAGACUCAUCAACACAGCAAACGAGUCAGAACAUAUAACUACUCUGCAUGACUUCCUCCAACCACUGCAAGGUCAACAGUACGACCAUCAGCUCAGCCAGGUGGUCUGCAAUUGUCUUCUGACAGCCACCCCACUUUCCUGUUCAACAAAGGCUGAUCCAGUCUGACCUGUCCUUGGGUCUUUUGAUCUAUCUGUAUAUAUAGUCAAAAAAACACAGAUUUACAGUUUCCAGUCGCCUUUUAAAGAACUUGCAUGGAUCAACCCCCUCCCUGUCUUUCCGUACACUCUUCAACACUUGUAAAUCAACUACUGGAGGUGGGAGUAGCCAUGGUGGACUCACAGGGAUAGGUACCGUGGGGCUAAAGUCCCUGCAGUACAAUCCCAUCUGCCUCUCCUGGUUAUCACCCAACCAUCCAAAGCUUUUAUUCUGUCCACGUUCAGGCUCCCAACUUCUCUGUAGCACCUCUUUUGUGGGGUGAGACACAUCACGUUCCUGUAAAUUAACUCAAUAAUUAAUUCCCAGCGAUUGCCUGCUAAUAUGUAAUGGCAAUGAAAAUAAAUUUCUUAAAUGUAUGGCAGUCGUUACCACAGCCACAAAGUAAAAAUGUAUGUUGUGGAAGUUCAUGGAAACAAAAAUUAGCUUUUUUGUUUAAAGGUUAGGUUGAGUCAUAAGGUUAACAGUGUUGUUACGGUUAGGUUUAAGAUUACAUUUUAAGUAGAUACAUUUUUUAAAUAUAUGCGUGGUACAUUCUUUUUUUCUCAAAGUUGCUGGCAUGGCACAUGUCCUACUUUUAUCAGUAUAAUCGUAACAACCUAAUAAUUAUGAAACGUAUAUUCUAUCAUUUAAGUCACAAGUCGCCCCUUCUUCUGUUUUGAAAGGAAAUUACUGGUAUAAUAAAUAUGGUGGAAACUGACUAAGCCAUUCCUCCGCCAACCCAAUGCUAUUAGAUUUUUGGGAAGUAGUGAAUAAUUGAACAUUUGAGGAAAAAGGAGAUAUUCUAGGGAUUCCCAAAUAGACUAAAUUAAUACAAUAGUUUAUCAUUAAACCAAAUAUGUUUAAUAUUUCUUGCCGCUAACGGGACAAAGCUAGCCCAUGCCCCUCUACCCUCCCGGAGUCCCCAGGUCAAACGUCUCCCAGUACUGCUUUACUGCUGUGUGUGGUCGACUGCAGGAAAACACUGGGGCAGAGUGGAACUAAGAGAGGAGGAAGAGAAGAUAAGGAAGAUGGAGAUUUGUUUUCAUUAAGUAAGAACCAUGGUGUGUAGAUUAGACUACAGUCUGCUUCUGUAACAAUAGCGGAGGUGCAUAAAGAUGGCGGCCCGCAUGUACUUACCACAAAUUACUCCUUUUGCUGAGUUCACUGUAUUCUACAUUGCUCUCCUUUACUGUUGGUAUGGUCAUUAGCACAGUAAACAUGAUCCCAAAUUUAGCUUCAAGAUGCUGGUAAUUUAAAAAAAUGAAAAAGGUAAAGUAACGGUGCAUAGAUGCGACAAGGAAUACAUUGUGGCUGCUAUGAAAGUGAAUUGUGUCUUCGCGUGAUCAGGGAUGUUCGUUCCGCCAAUUCUGUUAAAAUGUUUCUUCAACAGAAGCAAAUGGAACAAAAUUGGGAUGAACAUACCUGAAGUUGUUUGCAACUGUUCGUCUAAUGAUUACACCCUCUAGAUAAUUAGCAGUCAGCGCAUGUUAACUGUCCUGUUGCGUAAUAAUCACAUUUUGGAACAGUGAGAGCAUUCUGACAUCAGGUGCAUAAAACAACUCACGCUGGGGUGACCAUUAGAUAUAUUUGGAAUGUUUCAUUCCACCCGUUUUUAAAAGUGUAACUUGGUCCAAUAAUAUUUUUCACCUAAUUUUAACAUUCUAUCAUAAAGAGCACAUGUAGGAAAACAUGUUAAUUAUCUCAAGACAUUGAAUUAAAAUAUUACUAUACUAUGUGCCAAAUAAAGUAACAGGGGACUACUGAAAACAACAAAACAAAGGUUACGUAUGUUACCACGGUUAUGUGAGCUAUAUGGAUAUCUCCAAUAUACUGGUAUCACUCCGCGGCGGAGGGAUACAUCCAAGGUGAGGACUUACAGAUUCACUCCCGUGUACAUCUGUGUCGUGGCUGGGGUCCGCCACCAUAUAUAGAACCCAUGGCCGCGACACACAUUCUCUACCUAACUUUUGAGGCGCCUCUAGCACUGUAGAGGAUUGGAGUGAUCCAUAUAGCUCACAUAGCCGUGGUUACAUAUGUAACCUUCGUUAUGUUUCACUAUAUUGAAUCACUCCAAUAUAUUGGUAUACCCGUACAAGAUUUAGUCGGUGCUAGAGGGACCCGGCCAGCCAGCGGUGAAGUCCCAGCGCGGGACCGAGACGCAGGGGCCGUCAAUGUGGAAGGUGGGUCCCGGCACAGUCCCCGGAAGGGGAGGUGAUGCCCAGGACCACUGAACCAACUGCAGAGGAAGGUUCCACAUUUACCCAAUAGUACUUAGCAAAGGUGCAAGAGGAAGCCCAGCUGGCAGCAGCAACGAUAUCAGCGAGGGGCACUCCUCUCAGUAGAGCCCAGGAUACAGCCACACCUCUUGUUGACUGUGCCACCACAGAUCCCAGCACUGGCCUGCCAGCCAGGCGGUAUGCUGUCAUAAUUGUGUCCACGAUCCAGUGAGAGAGCCUUUGCUUAGAUAACAAAGCCCCCAGGACUCUCUCACCAUAUCAGAGAGCCGGUCUGUUGUUCUCACUGCCCGUGUCCGCUCCACAUAGGCAGCCGGUGCCUGCGCAGGGCACAGCAUGCCAGAGGGAGGGCCAGACUCUUCCGCCACUCCCGGGGGAUCAUAAGCAGACAGGAUAAAAGGGAUCCUUUUCUGUCAGACAUGCCUGUCUGACAUAGCUUUUGGGAGGAAUGAAGAGUUGGGGCGAAGAGAUAUUCUCCUCCCACCGGGGUCCAUCCGGUAGCACUCAGAACUUACUGAAAGAGCAUGGAGCUCACCCACCCUCUUCAUAGAUGUAAUUUCUACCACAAAAUCCACCUUCGUAGAGCGGUGUUUCAGGGAGGCAGACUCCAACGGUUCGAAAAAGCGGCUUUGCCAAAGCUGCCAAGACCACAUCCAGAUCCCAGCUCGCCAUUGAGCACGUCGUAGCUGGACGCAGGCGACAAACCCCCUUCGUAAACCUGGAGACCAAGGGAUUGCGCCCCACUGGCCUGUCUAUCCACCCCACAUGGCAGGCAGAUAUAGCGGCCAAAUACCCUCUCAGUGUAGGCUUCCAAGCCCUCAUCCAAGUGAGACUGCAGGUAUUGGAGGACAUACUGCACCCCGCAUGACCAACGUAGGAUAGCCACGUUGGUAAGGUGGCCAUGAGAGCAGAGGGAGCCAUAUGUGGCUUUCAAGUCGCAUCAAAGACCCUUGGGGGUCCCAGCUUCAGUCGCAGGUUCCGCUCUAUAAUCUCCUUGUCCAUGGCAGCUAUCAUGGUGUGGUACUCCCGGAGGCCGAGUGACACUACGCCCGCAACAUAACUCCAUGGUCCAGUCUCUACUGUGAGUCUGAAGAGCCCCCUGGCAGAGACCCAGCUCUCCUGCAAGGCCUCACGGAACUCAGCAGAGAUGGGGGCAGAUGGAAAGUCAUCCCUGUCCACCAGUUUGAUGUCCAGUGCAGUGGCUACCUGAGUGAGUAGGCUCCGUGAUGAAGCCCUGUUGAAGGCUUCUGGUGGCCUGUCAGCCUGGUAGCCCCACUCAUGGUGGUGAGCAGUGCCAGCAUUGUCCUCCAGGAACAGCCUAUCACUGGCCAAAAGGGAAAAGCUGUUGUCACCAUUGACGCUAUCAACCUCCUGACGCAGGGUAUGCGCCCUCUGAUCAAGGUGGCCCCAGCGUGCCGACUCCUGUACCCGUCCAGGCCUGGCAGCAGAUGGGCUCUGCCUGUGGUGGCUCCGGCCAUGCUUCCUGGGAGGGGUACUGGACCCAGUAGAGGGACAACAGCUCGCUGCCGCACCACUCCUGAGGGAAGGAGCUCGUCCCCAGCCUGAGCCCGAGCCUGGCCGACCCACUCGUGCAUGGCCAGCAAUCGCGCCAGGCGCAGGCGUUCUGAGAACACCACACAAAACAGGCAUCCAGUAGGGCGCUCCACCGCCCUCUCCGCGUGGCUCAAACCCAGGUAGUGCAUACACGAGGUAUGCGGAUGUCCAGGGGGGAUGCCACCAUCACACCUGUCACAAAGGGAAGCCGUAAGCUCAGCCAAGCCAGCAAGGCCAUGGAGCAGAGGUCCGACACCCUGGGAGAGCUAUGUCGUGAUCCGCAUGGAGGAAUAGGAACCCGAUGAGGGAUAAAUUACCCAGUACCUCUGCAAAGAAACAGGGAAGACCCAUGUGGGAAAAACAGGCAGACAAAAAAACAGCAACCAAGUAAUGGAUUUGAUUUAUUUGUUUUUUUGUUUUAGGCCAACUGCAAUAUUACCUAGCCGGUUUAAUAUCCAAGCAGUAAAAACAGCACCAUAUGGAGUAACGUUGUUAAGGAACUCCAAAGUUAAUGUCUCAACAUAGUGGAAAGUCCACCAUGAUACUCUUACACUCUGCAGGGGAAAGAACAAGAAAAAAACCCAGCAGGGUAAUUAGCAGAGAACCUGGCGCGGGGAGCAGCAUGUUAAAUCAAUUCACAACACACACAUAGAACAAGCCAGUGGGCAAGUUGUGUAAGGUAAAUACAGUUUGUGUCGGCAAGAGCCACCAUACUAAUGGAUGCACACAGAGUCGUAGUGUAACGCCAACGAAACAAGUACGACAAACCAGGGGCGAAAGAUACAGAUCAACCAUGUAGAUACAAAGGCGGAUCCCAGCCGUGACAGGUGUACACGGGAGGGAAUCUGUAAAUCCUCACCUCGAAUGUAUCCCUCCACCACGGAGUGAUACCUAUAUAUUGGCGUGAUCCAAUAUAGUGAAACAUAACCACCAGCUUACAUGGGUAAAAUAGUCAAUUAAAAUGAACCAUAAAACUGCUUAGGACAGGGGAAUGGAAGGUUGCUUUGUGAAACAAGGGGUGACUAUUAAUGCAAUCUUCACAAAAAAAUUUAAUUGUAAAACAUUUCUAGCAUGUCUAUGUAUGGGGAGAGGGUUGAAUUGCUCAGUUUUGCACCACAAACAGCAGUAAAUUGAUAAAAAAGAGUUGAACCAGCUCACCUGCUUUUACUCUGUGAUUUGACUAUUAGAUAUUCCUAUUUUUAAAGGAAUAGUUUCACCAUAUUCAAACGAGAGUUCAGUUCAUGUAACAGGGUUGACCUUAAAAUGAGGGUCACUAAUCACAUUGAUAAUAUUCAGAAAGGACUUUGUCAAAGCAACAAAAUAACUAGUGCUCCUACAAUGAGUGUAUUUACAUGCAAACUCAUCAUUUGACAUUAGUUAUGGCAGUAGGCCGAGUAUGGCAUUCGUCACGUAAACACCUUACUCUGCUUAUCUUAAUUGGCUUAAGUUGACAAUCAAAGUGACGCUGUUAAAAACACCUGGUGUUCUGAGCAAUUUUUCAAUAUAUUAGGACACAUAAAGGCCUUCAUCAGAUUCAUAGAGGCAUAUUUCAUCGCUAAUAUUUUAAAGGGUUUUAUUUGUGAUAUCUUUGAACUUUCCUUAUUGUGUAUUAAGUGUUCUCCAGAAAGAUGUUCACACAUUUUAUUUUUAAUUGAAUGAUGUGUUGGUUGUUAGGAAGAGGCAUCAUGGGGGCAGGAAGCCAGCUCUGCCCAUCAGUACUUAUAGGUCAUGUCAACCACAGACCGCACACUCUUCUGUUCUCUCACGGCCAGUAAGGUCUCCUACCAAACUCCUCUCUCUUCACUCUGGAAAUACACUUGACAAUAUCUUAAACAUUACCAUUCUACUUUUUAUUGGUGAUUUGUUAUGUGGAACGAAUGUUUGCAUGUAAAUGUCAUUGUAAAACAUACAUACGAAUGUGGUUUCAUGUUUUCUUGUUUUGUUUUACAUUGCUGAUUGCGUAUACAUUUUUUUUUUUAAAUAUGUAUUUUUUAAGUGUUUAGUUGGAUUAUGUAGAAGAGACCAGGAUAUGUGGUUGCCCUGUGUCCCAAUACUCAAUGUUGUAGUCAUGGUCCUGAGAAUGAAACAUGUUUUAAACAAUCAACAGAGAUUCACGUGUCUUACAGUGCUACACAUCUGUUAUAAUAAGUGGUGUUUCCUGCUUAAUUGAAGUAUCAGAUGUAGUUUUUCACCAGUUAUAAAGUGUGUUUGUUGUCUCUCUUUAUGUUUCUACGGCUGCAGGGAGGGAGAUGAACGUUUUCUUGACUUUACUCAACCUGUAUAGAUUGGGUAAAAUCUUAUCCAGGAACUAAUCUUGAAAUAAGAUUAGCCUGGGGCAGCAGGUAGCCAAGUGGAUAGAGCGUUGGGACAGCAACUGAAAGGUUGCUAAAUCGAAUCCCCGAGCUGACAAGGUAAACAUCUGUAGUUCUGCCCUCUAACAUGGCAGUUAUCCCACUGUUCCUAGGCCAUCAUUAUAAAUAAAAAUGUGUUCUUAUCUGACUUGCCUGGUUAAAUAAUGAUGUGAGACGUUAUGCUGUCAUAACGUAAUUGAGCUUGGAUAUUUAAAUAGAUGUUUGAUUGCUCUGGUCUAGGGGUGCAUCAGUUGCAGCCUUGAGACAGGAAUUCUCCCCCUGAUCCUUAUCUGAACUCUGUGACAACAAAGUAACUGUAUUGUAGCCUACACAUUUCUUGUCUUAGUAAGAAACACUGAAGAAAACAAUAGCUUCCACGAUGGAUCUGAAAGCCUCCAAAUCUGACACAAGGGGCACAGUAGAGAAUGGACAGGGAGACUGUAGUCCCAUGUAUGACAACAUCUCAGACAUGGCCAUGACCCCUACUGCAGCACAGAGAGCAGACAGAGACUAUACAGUGCCGGAGGAAGGCCCCAUCAUCAUCAAGGACCCCACACACCCCAUCCACGAGCUGUUCACACCCUUACCGUCGGGCUGACGGUAUCGGAGCAUGAGGUCUGAUACCAAUCGCCAUCAGACUGCUGAACACUUGAACUGGACUGACCAGCUGCACUGUUUCUUCGCACAUUAGAACACAUGAACUCACUCAUGCACAUACACACUCACGCACACACUCAUGCACACACACACAUACAUUCAUGCUACACAUCACAACUACUGCUACCAGACUCUUAAUAUGAUUGAUAAAUACUGCACAAUUGAACCACUUGAACCACAAUUGAACCCCCCCUUUCCCAAAACACGUGUAAAUAUUGGACUGUAUUAUACUUAUGCCACAAUGUUUAUUCUAUUCUACUGAGACAUUUUCUUUAUGUUCGUAUUGUUAUUUUUUAUUAUGUCUUAUUGUUGUUGCAUUUUUGAGAAGGAACCUGCCAGUAAGCAUUUAGUUGGACGGUGUAUACAAUGUGUCUUCUGUACAUACGACUAAUAAAACAUGAAACUUGAAACAAUGACUUUAAAUGAGACCCCAGAAGUGAGGAUUGAUGAUGACAUGUUGCAUCUCCUUUCUCAUCAGACCUCUCUCACAGGUAGCUGAGGAGGUCUCCUCUGUGUUCUACAGAACAAGAAGACCUGAACACAAGAUCUUUGUUGCGUCCCAAAUGGUACCUUGUUCCCUCUAGUUCACUAUGUAGUCGUGGGCUCAUGGCUUGAGACUGAGCUUUGCUUUGUAUAUCUGAAAGGGAACAAGACAAUACCAAACUUGUCAUUAAGCAGUAUUUCUUUAGCUCUUAGCGUGUGUUUUAGCGAGAGGAAAAUGUUGCCCAUAAUGUUUUAGGUCGUCAUGGGUGAUGGCACAACAAAUAGGGGAGUCAUUACUAUAGCUUCAGUACUGUUAACGAUUAAUGUACAAGACUAUAC